AUUUUAAUCAAUUGCAGUACAUUUUUCUUUAUUCAAAGCAAACAAAGCCACAAAUUUGAAGAAAUAAUAUUCUAAAACAAAAUUUUUCGUUCUACAAAAAAAAAUUCUAACUUAAUUUCAUUUCAUCAUUCUUAUUUAAGUGCUAUACGCAGUUAAAGUUAUACAUUAAAUGUACUAAUUCAUACAUCAUGUAGUAUGACAAACACAGGAUUUAUAAGGCACUUCUAAAUUACUAAGUGGAGAAGAGGAGAUAAAAUGUGACGAAGAAAAAGCAAGAACAUUGAACAGAAACACACAAGGCAUGCCUAUAGGAAUUCGGAAGUGGUUGCCAAUGUUGAUAAAAGUUUAGUUAAGAUAUGAAGAAGCUACCGAGGGUGAGCUUUACUGCUGGUGCACUAAAAGCGAAUACCCCUGACUGCUAGCAAAACUGUUGUGUCCUUCAUUAUAUAUUGGCAUUAGUUCCGAAAUUCCACCCGUUUGUGUUAGAUUAAGUUUUACUGGCCGGCUGUCGCUCCAUACGGUGGUUUCACAAUGGGUCUCCCAAAGGCGUAGGUGCAUCGUCCAGCCAUCCACCCUACUUAUCUACAUAUGUUAUACAUUAUACAUGUAAUUACAGAAUGCAACUCUACAUCAAGAUAAAUAUAACAUAUAUAAAACAUGUAUUUGUUACUGAUAGACUAUGUGGAAAACAAGUGAUGUACACAUAAUUGCGAGGUGAACCGCAGCCAUAGCGCUAACAAGCGACAGAAAGCAAAACAGAGGAGGCCAUAACGAACGAGCUGCGUAGCGUUAACGAUUGUAAUGUGAACUAUGUUAGCAUAUGUAGUUACUACCUCGAAAACCGUUCGGGUACUUUAACCUGUAAUCAUGUAAAGAUAUAUAUGUAUAUAUAUAUAUAUAUAAAGAUUCAUAGCUACAUAAAUAUAUAAAUAUGUAUAGUACUUAUGCAAUAUAAUGUUAUUCUGGGUCUAGCUGUACAUUAUUUAUAUCAUUUAUAUAAUAUAUUGAAGUAUGUGUGAUCAUAUAUGAGCAUUGCGCUAAUAUGUUCCCAUAUUUAGUUACAUA
Bactrocera oleae (olive fruit fly) is the source of this 1065-nucleotide non-coding RNA. NCBI's taxonomy places the organism in Eukaryota, Metazoa, Arthropoda, Insecta, Diptera, Tephritidae. The record is from RefSeq and is a predicted model, not a curated record.